RNAcentral lists this ribosomal RNA (1326 nucleotides) under Staphylococcus aureus. RNAcentral's name for it is "partial 23S ribosomal RNA". It matches the Rfam family "Bacterial large subunit ribosomal RNA", at positions 1487 to 2810 of the family's 2925-position model. The record is from RNAcentral. Lineage: Bacteria; Bacillati; Bacillota; Bacilli; Caryophanales; Staphylococcaceae.
CGAAGCGUGCGAUUGGAUUGCACGUCUAAGCAGUAAGGCUGAGUAUUAGGCAAAUCCGGUACUCGUUAAGGCUGAGCUGUGAUGGGGAGAAGACAUUGUGUCUUCGAGUCGUUGAUUUCACACUGCCGAGAAAAGCCUCUAGAUAGAAAAUAGGUGCCCGUACCGCAAACCGACACAGGUAGUCAAGAUGAGAAUUCUAAGGUGAGCGAGCGAACUCUCGUUAAGGAACUCGGCAAAAUGACCCCGUAACUUCGGGAGAAGGGGUGCUCUUUAGGGUUAACGCCCAGAAGAGCCGCAGUGAAUAGGCCCAAGCGACUGUUUAUCAAAAACACAGGUCUCUGCUAAACCGUAAGGUGAUGUAUAGGGGCUGACGCCUGCCCGGUGCUGGAAGGUUAAGAGGAGUGGUUAGCUUCUGCGAAGCUACGAAUCGAAGCCCCAGUAAACGGCGGCCGUAACUAUAACGGUCCUAAGGUAGCGAAAUUCCUUGUCGGGUAAGUUCCGACCCGCACGAAAGGCGUAACGAUUUGGGCACUGUCUCAACGAGAGACUCGGUGAAAUCAUAGUACCUGUGAAGAUGCAGGUUACCCGCGACAGGACGGAAAGACCCCGUGGAGCUUUACUGUAGCCUGAUAUUGAAAUUCGGCACAGCUUGUACAGGAUAGGUAGGAGCCUUUGAAACGUGAGCGCUAGCUUACGUGGAGGCGCUGGUGGGAUACUACCCUAGCUGUGUUGGCUUUCUAACCCGCACCACUUAUCGUGGUGGGAGACAGUGUCAGGCGGGCAGUUUGACUGGGGCGGUCGCCUCCUAAAAGGUAACGGAGGCGCUCAAAGGUUCCCUCAGAAUGGUUGGAAAUCAUUCAUAGAGUGUAAAGGCAUAAGGGAGCUUGACUGCGAGACCUACAAGUCGAGCAGGGUCGAAAGACGGACUUAGUGAUCCGGUGGUUCCGCAUGGAAGGGCCAUCGCUCAACGGAUAAAAGCUACCCCGGGGAUAACAGGCUUAUCUCCCCCAAGAGUUCACAUCGACGGGGAGGUUUGGCACCUCGAUGUCGGCUCAUCGCAUCCUGGGGCUGUAGUCGGUCCCAAGGGUUGGGCUGUUCGCCCAUUAAAGCGGUACGCGAGCUGGGUUCAGAACGUCGUGAGACAGUUCGGUCCCUAUCCGUCGUGGGCGUAGGAAAUUUGAGAGGAGCUGUCCUUAGUACGAGAGGACCGGGAUGGACAUACCUCUGGUGUACCAGUUGUCGUGCCAACGGCAUAGCUGGGUAGCUAUGUGUGGACGGGAUAAGUGCUGAAAGCAUCUAAGCAUGAAGCCCCCCUCAAGAUGAGAU